CAAGUCGAACGGCAGCACAGCAGUAGCAAUACUGUGGGUGGCGAGUGGCGGACGGGUGAGGAAUACAUGGGAAUCUGCCCUGUCGUGGGGGAUAACGUAGGGAAACUUACGCUAAUACCGCAUACGACCGGAAGGUGAAAGCGGCGGACCGCAAGGCGUCGCGCGACUGGAUGAGCCCAUGUCGGAUUAGCUAGUUGGCGGGGUAAAGGCCCACCAAGGCGACGAUCCGUAGCUGGUCUGAGAGGAUGAUCAGCCACACUGGAACUGAGACACGGUCCAGACUCCUACGGGAGGCAGCAGUGGGGAAUAUUGGACAAUGGGCGCAAGCCUGAUCCAGCCAUGCCGCGUGAGUGAAGAAGGCCUUCGGGUUGUAAAGCUCUUUUGUCCGGAAAGAAAAGCCUUCGGUUAAUACCCGGGGGUUCUGACGGUACCGGAAGAAUAAGCACCGGCUAACUUCGUGCCAGCAGCCGCGGUAAUACGAAGGGUGCAAGCGUUACUCGGAAUUACUGGGCGUAAAGCGUGCGUAGGUGGUUCGUUAAGUCUGAUGUGAAAGCCCUGGGCUCAACCUGGGAAUGACAUUGGAAACUGGCGAUCUAGAGUGCGGUAGAGGGUAGUGGAAUUCCCGGUGUAGCAGUGAAAUGCGUAGAGAUCGGGAGGAACAUCUGUGGCGAAGGCGACUGCCUGGACCAGCACUGACACUGAGGCACGAAAGCGUGGGGAGCAAACAGGAUUAGAUACCCUGGUAGUCCACGCCCUAAACGAUGCGAACUGGAUGUUGGGUGCAACUAGGCACUCAGUAUCGAAGCUAACGCGUUAAGUUCGCCGCCUGGGGAGUACGGUCGCAAGACU
This 849-nucleotide ribosomal RNA is filed under the name uncultured Thermomonas sp. RNAcentral's name for it is "bacterial SSU rRNA". It matches the Rfam family "Bacterial small subunit ribosomal RNA", at positions 58 to 895 of the family's 1533-position model. Lineage: Bacteria; Pseudomonadati; Pseudomonadota; Gammaproteobacteria; Lysobacterales; Lysobacteraceae. The record is from RNAcentral.